AAAAAUAGUAACAUUUUUCCAAAAUAUUUAGGCAUGGAUUUUUUUUUACUUUCCUAAACACCUUUUCGGAAAUCUUUACCCCAAUUAGUAGGGCAAGGGUUUCCACUGUCAACCUUUACCCACUUUUUCGAUGAGAGCUGGAUAGCCAAUGAAAAUCACAAAUAAAAUGGACGUAUGUUGUUUCAUGCAUUCUUUUUAGACCUGUGAAAAUCAUUUACAACCUAUCAUGUAAUAGAAAAUUAUUUUAAAAAAAAGUGACAAAAAAUUACAAAAUAAAUGGCUAACCAUAAAGGAUUAUCCUACUUAGUGUAGGGGAAACAAAGAAAGUAGACAAUAAGACUUAUUCAAAGGCUACCUAAAUCACGUUUUAUGAAUAAAUUGAUAAUUAUUUCAUAUGUAUAAGUACCGAACUGUGCAUAGUGAGACACCCCAUGUCUAUUUCGUAGCAUAUCAGAUACUAUUAAUGUUUGGGAUUUUUAAAAUCAUUUUUGGUGAAUAGUGAUUCAUGUAAGAAUUAGGGCGGCUUGCAGAGUCGUUCCGAGAAUUCUCCGAGUGCGAGUGGAGUUUGAGUGGAGGAAUUUUCAUUGCACAGUCGAGAACGGAGUAAAAACUAAGUAAUAUCCGAAUGAAACCGAGUAAAAACGAAGGAAUAUUGGAGUGUACGCGCAACCACACUCCGAGGGCACUCCGAGGGCCCUCGGAGUGAAAUAUGGAAAAAAAUUCAAGAUGGCUGCGUUAUUAGAACCAAUUGUGGAAUUUCUUGAUUUAAUUGAUGAAGUAUUUCUAGAAAAUGAAGAAAGAAACGUUGCCAGGGACCCACGUCGGUAUUUGAGGGAUUUUAAAAAUCCACUGGAGUGGUUUAGUGACGUGCUGUUCAGACGACGAUAUCGUUUUACCAAGGAUCUUGUUCGGCAUCACAUUCUGCCUUUGCUAGUGUUUGAAGAACCACGGAGUCGUCGAGGAUUACCGCUACCGCCUGUCCUGCAGCUGCUAAUUGCCUUGCGAUUUUACGCAACAGGCACUUUCCAGAUGGUGGCAGGCGAGUUAACAGGCGUUAGCGAGUCCACAGUUUCCCGAAUUAUCAGACGUAUCUCUGUCGGUUUAGCGCAACAUACUCAACAUCUGAUACGGUUUCCCAAUGGCGAUGAAUUUCGAUUGAACAAGCUACGAUUUUAACACUUUCCCGGUGUUACAGGAGUGACUGCACCCACAUAAAAAUCAAAAGCCCCGGCGGUGCUCGGGGGGAAGUAUACAGCUUAUUCGAAGAUGGGCGUGUGCAGGGACUGCUGCUGGGAGACAGUGGUUACCCACAGUUGCCAUACCUGUUCACGUACAGAUGCAGAGCAGAGGCCAACAAUGAUGUGCCAAUCCCACCAGUUCCUCUUCGACCUGGGCGCGCCAUGGCCAUCAGGAACGAGUUCAUCAUCCGGCAUUUCAAUUAGCUGUAUUGAAAUGAUUUUUACACACAUUGUUUUACGUGGGUUUUUGAAUUCAGUGUUCAUGAUCGUACCGUUUAAUAUUAGGUUUGUUUGGCUGGAAUGAAUAUUUUAUGAUUUUUGCACUCAUUGUUAUGGCUACUUAUGAAUAAUUCAAUGAUAUAUCUUCAUUUGUUGCUAAGCCAUUCCAUUGCAUUUCCUUUAAUCCUUCACAUACCUACAGGCCCUGGCAUUUUGUUUCCAACUUGUAAACAAAUUUCAAUUAAAUUAAGAAAUUUUACAUGAACUUUCUAAUAAUGCAGCCUUUUACAAAUGUCUGAGUAAAGAAGUACAUUUGGUUAUAUUUUUGCUUUUUGAUUCUUUUGUAUUUUAACUUGAUGAAAUAGGUAAUGUUUUGUUAAAAGUAUUAUUGUGCAAACAUAUUUAUGUUGUUUCAAGUUUCAUUUUGUUCACUUACCUAUGAUAUAGGAUUGUAUUGCAGGAUCUUAUUUCAUUUUACUUUUGUUUAGUCAAAAUUGUUUAUAUCUUAAGAAAGAAAAGUAAUAUCAAAUAUAUUUGUUUAAAAACAUUUAGAUAUACAGGUGUGGUGAAAAUAGGUAGGAAACUGUGAAUUCAACUAUGUAUUAUGCAAAAACAUUGGGAAUCAGUUGGUAAAAACUGGUUUCAUGAUUGAAAUACUCUCAAUGUGUUGGGUAAGAAUGUUUCCAAAUGGAACAUUGAAAAUUAGUUGAUUGUUUUGCAGAUCCUGUUGCUGCCGCCAGUCGUGGCUCCACUCAAGUGCUCGGUGCUGCCCCUCAGCGGCAACGUGCAGUUCCAGCCCCUCGUGUGCCAGCAGUUAGUGGGCUGGCAGGGAUUCCUCGACGGGCAUGACCAGGAACAUUCAAACAUGCAGGAAUUACAUCAUAUUGAAGAUAAUUUAUUAUUUAAUGAUUUUGCAUGUUAUUUAGACAAACACAUUUCAGGGAAAUUGUGGGCAAACUUUGCCUAGGCUUGUAGUAAGCACUCAUGUGGUUUACCAUUGAACUACCCUUGUUUGUUUAAAAAAAAUAACAAUAUUCUUCUACAAUGUUUUUUAUUUUUGACAAGAAGGGUAAAGUUAUGAAAAUACAAAAGUACAGCUACAAAUCUUUUAAAUGCAUUGCCAAAAGCAAAGAUUUUACAUUUUAAAAUUUUCCUUGUUACAGUUGUUUUAAUUGUUUAAUAAUCAUGCAUUAAUACAUAACAAGAUAAUAUCAAGAAAUAUUGUUAUGGAACCUAUUGAACUAUAACAUUUUAAUGUAUAUAUAUAAUUGAUUGUGUAGUGUAUGUUAUUUCUUGUGGCAACAAUUUUUAAGUUGUUAAUUUUAUUCACGAUCUUAGUAUUUCAAUACUAUUAACACAAAUCACAACAUAGUACACAGUGUUAAAAGCCCUUCAUAAUUCUUGUACAUUUCUGUCUGAUGUUUCUCUGGAGACCUUUAGCCAUAUCUGUUUAAGAUCUGAUAUUGACUGCUACUAUGUAUGUAUUUCAUGUAUUUAUAAUAUGGUUACAAAAUACAAAAUACUUUAUGGUCACCUUUGCAUGUUAUUAUUUAUUUAAAUUGUUACUUUUAUUUAAAUGCUCUGCCACACACAUUAAUUUAUAUUGCAUGCCGUAUGUAAUUUCCAUCAGCUAAAACAUUUCAUGUACACAUACAUGUACAUUACAUACAUAUUUCACAUACCGCUACUUUAUGUUUAUUACUUUCAGUAUGCAUCUGAAAAUGUUCAAUUUCUGUGAGUUGAUGUUUUUGGAUUUUGAAUUACGGGAUGUGGUAUUAAUGUGUGUUUCGUACCCCUUUGAGUAAACCUGACAUGUUAUUGUAACUCAUUCUGGCUCAUACGUUUUGUGAUUCAGCACACCCUGUUUUAUUUUUUUUAAUGUGUGUGUGUGUGUGUGUGAUGCAUUAUUUGUGCACAAUUGUUACAAAAAUACAAUUAAUUGUAAUUAUUUUCUUCACAAUACUGGAAUUAUAAUAACUACUUUCAAUAGUCGUAAGCAAUCUUUAAUUUGUACAUUAAGUAAAACAAAUGAUCUAUUAUUCAGAAUCACUAAAAAUUACAAUAAAUAUGCAAGUUUCUUUCCUGUAUUAGAUAGCACAAUAAAAUUUAAAAAAAAAUACAACUAUACAUAACUUGAUUUUUUUUUGUGGUUAAUUAUGAUAUUGUUUCAAGUUAGUUUUCUUUUUUCCUGAAUUAUAUUUGUAAAGAAAUUAUUUACUAAUUGCUAAAUGUUGCAUGUUGUGUGUAUUGUUUUUGUUUUGUUGUCUUGUAUUUUGUAUUGUUUUGUUUUGUCUGUAUGUAUCUGUGUUUGUAUCGUGCCUACCACCCAAGGCCAUAAGCUGUAGGUAGGCACGCAACAAAUAUUAAAUAAAUAAAAUAAAUAAUA
Molecule: long non-coding RNA, 3843 nt
Organism: Bacillus rossius redtenbacheri
Lineage: Eukaryota; Metazoa; Arthropoda; Insecta; Phasmatodea; Bacillidae
Exons: 4
Source: RefSeq, a predicted model, not a curated record